UAAAAUUAAUUUUUAUAUUAAAAUGUCUCGAAAUUUAGAGAGCUAAGAAUUUAUAUAUUUUAAUGUUAAAUAAUUAUUUAUAAUAUUUUUUUUGUAGUGAAAUGUUAGUCGGUCUAAAUUAUAUCUAGUUUUUUUAGAAAUGAAUUUAAUUCAGCUUAAUAAAGGAAUUAUUUUUUUGUUAAAUAGAUUUUUUUUUUGAAGUUAUAAUUGAGGGGAUAAGCUUUUGAUUAGAGUUUUAUAAUUGUGGGUAAGUGUUUAUAUGUAGGAUUAGAGGUGUUCAUCAAUUGGAGUGUGUUAUAACAAAUAAAUUUAUUUUAUGAUUUUUUUUUAUUUAAGUUAUAUAUAAAAAUAUAAAAUUGAAUUGGUUUAUUUUAGUAUUUAUGAUGGAAUUAGUAUAUUUUAGUGUUGAAGUUAUUUAAUUUUAAAAGGUUAAUUUAAGGAACUCGGCAAAUAAAUUUCUUGCCUGUUUAAUAAAAACAUGUCCUUUUGGUAUAAUUUAAGGUCUAACCUGCCCAAUGAAGUUUAAAUGGCCGCGGUAUUUUGACCGUGCAAAGGUAGCAUAAUCAUUAGUUUUUUAAUUGAAAGCUGGAAUGAAAGGUUGGACAAGGAAAUUACUGUCUCUGGUUAAUUUAUAUUAGAAUUUUAUCUUUAAGUAAAAAAGCUUAAAUGAUUUUAAGGGACGAGAAGACCCUAUAGAAUUUGAUAGUUAAAGUAAAUUUGGAUGUAUGGAUUUGUUUAUUAAUUUUAUUUUAAUUAUUUUGUUGGGGUGAUAGAAAAAUUUAAAUAACUUUUUUUUUGUUUUUUCACUAAUUAGUGAGUUUAUGAUCCAUAUUUAAUGAUUAUAAGAUUAAAUUACCUUAGGGAUAACAGCGUUAUUAAUUUGGAGAGUUCUAAUCGAUAAAUUAGUUUGCGACCUCGAUGUUGGAUUAAAAUUUACUUUUGGUGAAGAAGCUGAAUGGUUAAGUCUGUUCGACUUUUAAAAUUUU
Molecule: ribosomal RNA, 986 nt
Filed under: Chileistomus cucullatus
Lineage: Eukaryota; Metazoa; Arthropoda; Insecta; Coleoptera; Lucanidae
Description: partial 16S ribosomal RNA
Rfam family: Archaeal large subunit ribosomal RNA (bases 863-986)
Source: RNAcentral